This is a non-coding RNA of Schistosoma haematobium, 45 nucleotides long. The record is from Rfam. Lineage: Eukaryota; Metazoa; Platyhelminthes; Trematoda; Strigeidida; Schistosomatidae.
AUCCGGCUGACGAGUCCCAAAUAAAACGAAAAGCGCGUCCUGGAU